GCAAGUAUAGUUUUAAUCCAAACAUUAGACUGUGAUUCUAAAAAUAGAAGUUAAAACCUUCUUACUCGCC
Molecule: transfer RNA, 70 nt
Filed under: Procellaria cinerea
Lineage: Eukaryota; Metazoa; Chordata; Aves; Procellariiformes; Procellariidae
Description: tRNA-His
Rfam family: tRNA
About the family: Transfer RNA (tRNA) molecules are approximately 80 nucleotides in length. Their secondary structure includes four short double-helical elements and three loops (D, anti-codon, and T loops).
Source: RNAcentral